UGGGGAAUUUUGGACAAUGGGGGAAACCCUGAUCCAGCCAUCCCGCGUGUGCGAUGAAGGCCUUCGGGUUGUAAAGCACUUUUGGCAGGAAAGAAACGUCAUGGGUUAAUACCCCGUGAAACUGACGGUACCUGCAGAAUAAGCACCGGCUAACUACGUGCCAGCAGCCGCGGUAAUACGUAGGGUGCAAGCGUUAAUCGGAAUUACUGGGCGUAAAGCGUGCGCAGGCGGUUCGGAAAGAAAGAUGUGAAAUCCCAGAGCUCAACUUUGGAACUGCAUUUUUAACUACCGGGCUAGAGUGUGUCAGAGGGAGGUGGAAUUCCGCGUGUAGCAGUGAAAUGCGUAGAUAUGCGGAGGAACACCGAUGGCGAAGGCAGCCUCCUGGGAUAGCACUGACGCUCAUGCACGAAAGCGUGGGGAGCAAACAGG
RNAcentral lists this ribosomal RNA (429 nucleotides) under Acidobacteriota bacterium. Its description in RNAcentral is "Acidobacteria bacterium partial 16S ribosomal RNA". It matches the Rfam family "Bacterial small subunit ribosomal RNA", at positions 355 to 776 of the family's 1533-position model. Lineage: Bacteria; Pseudomonadati; Acidobacteriota. The record is from RNAcentral.